UACGUAGGGUGCAAGCGUUGUCCGGAAUUACUGGGCGUAAAGCGCGUGUAGGCUGCUCUGUGUGUCGGAUGUGAAAGCCCCGGGCUCAACCUGGGAAGUGCACUCGAAACUACAGAGCUGGAGUCUCGGAGAGGAUCGCGGAAUUCUCGGUGUAGAGGUGAAAUUCGUAGAUAUCGAGAGGAGCACCGGUGGCGAAGGCGGCGAUCUGGACGAUGACUGACGCUGAGACGCGAAAGCGUGGGGAGCAAACAGG
Molecule: ribosomal RNA, 253 nt
Filed under: uncultured bacterium
Lineage: Bacteria
Description: partial 16S ribosomal RNA
Rfam family: Bacterial small subunit ribosomal RNA
Source: RNAcentral